GACGAACCGUGCGAACGUUGUUCGGAAUCACUGGGCUUAAAGGGCGCGUAGGCGGACACUCAAGUCGGUGGUGAAAGCCUCCAGCUUAACUGGAGAAGAGCUGUCGAUACUGGGUGUCUCGAGGGGUGUAGGGGUCUGUGGAACUUUGGGUGGAGCGGUGAAAUGCGUAGAGAUCCAAAGGAACGCCGGUGGCGAAAGCGACGGACUGGACACCUUCUGACGCUGAGGCGCGAAAGCCAGGGGAGCAAACGGG
This 253-nucleotide ribosomal RNA is filed under the name uncultured bacterium. RNAcentral describes it as "partial 16S ribosomal RNA". It matches the Rfam family "Bacterial small subunit ribosomal RNA", at positions 524 to 776 of the family's 1533-position model. The record is from RNAcentral.